Capra hircus (goat) is the source of this 860-nucleotide long non-coding RNA. RefSeq lists it as uncharacterized. The transcript has 3 exons. The record is from RefSeq and is a predicted model, not a curated record. NCBI's taxonomy places the organism in Eukaryota, Metazoa, Chordata, Mammalia, Artiodactyla, Bovidae.
GAAUCCCAUGGACAGAGGAGCCUGGAGGCCUACAAGUCCAUGGGGUUGCAAAGAGGUGGACAUGACUUAACAACAAGAGAGAACUUAUACACAGGAGGAAUCUGGUGAUUAAUAGAUAUCAUUGAAGAGGACGUAUAAAAGUGCCGGCUCCAGGGCCCGUGUUCCAAGCUGCCCAUCCAGGUCUGACCUUCUGUGCUACUUAGAGAGCUGACUGUGGCUGCCAGGAGAAUGCAGUGAUCAAGAGGGAAUGAAGACUCUUACAGCUACCAUGACACAUUCUGCGUUAUUGGAUCUGAAGCUUACACCAUUUCAAGGAUUUUCCUUAAGAAAAAGAAUAUAAAAUUGGAUACAGGAGUUUCUAAUAAAGUUAAAUACUCCUACUCUGCAGUUUCAUUCAUAGGGAUAUACCCAAGAGAAAGUUAGCGUAUGUCCAUAAAAAGACAGUAAAAAGAAUAUUCAUAACAGCUUUACUCAUGAUAGACCCAAACUGGAAACAAUCCAAAUGCCCAUUAACAGCUGAAUGCAUAAACAGAAGAGAUCUAGCCGUACAAUGGAAUACUACCCAGCAGUAAAAGAAUUAGAAAUAACUACUGGUACGUGUACUGACAUGAAUGAAUUUGCAUACAUUCUGCUAAGCAAAAGAAGCCAGUCAAGUGAUUCCAUUUGCAAGCAUACCUCGUUUUAUCCACUUUGCUUUAUUGUGCUUUGCAAAUAGUGCAUUUUUCACACAUUAAAGGUUUGUGGUAACCCCCGGGGUCAAACAAGUCUUUUGGUGCCAUUUUUCACAGCCUUUGCUCAUUUUGUGUCUCUGUGACACUUUAAAAAUUCUUGCAAUAUUUCAAACUUUUUAAUUGUUUUAU